GACGAACGCUGGCGGCGUGCUUAACACAUGCAAGUCGAACGGAAAGGCCCUGCUUGCAGGGUACUCGAGUGGCGAACGGGUGAGUAACACGUGGGUGAUCUGCCCUGCACUUCGGGAUAAGCCUGGGAAACUGGGUCUAAUACCGGAUAGGAGCCAUUUUUAGUGUGUUGGUUGGAAAGUUUUUUCGGUGUAGGAUGAGCUCGCGGCCUAUCAGCUUGUUGGUGGGGUAAUGGCCUACCAAGGCGGCGACGGGUAGCCGGCCUGAGAGGGUGGACGGCCGCAUUGGGACUGAGGGGCGGCACAGACGCCGAAGGGAGGAAGCAGGGGGGAAUAUUGAACAAUGGGCGCCAGCCUGAUGCAGCGACGCCGCGUGGGGGAUGACGGCCUUCGGGUUGUAAACUACUUUCGCUAGGGACGAAGCUUUUUGUGACGGUACCUAGAGAAGAAGCACCGGCUAACUACGUG
This 465-nucleotide ribosomal RNA is filed under the name uncultured bacterium. Its description in RNAcentral is "partial 16S ribosomal RNA". It matches the Rfam family "Bacterial small subunit ribosomal RNA", at positions 28 to 507 of the family's 1533-position model. The record is from RNAcentral.